GUAUGCAAAGCAGAAUAAGAAGAAGCUGCUUCAACUUCCUUUUUCACUAACUUUCACGCCUGUGGCUUUGUUGCCCAAAGCUGGUCCUAAACCUGCUCACGCUCUCAAUUGGUACGUCAUUCACACGCAAAACCUUACAUUUAUUUAUUCAUUCUCUCUUUUUCUUUUAAUUAAAAUCAGAAAUUCAAAAUCUAACCUAGCAUUUACUCAUUAAAUUCAAAAUCUAAAUUUUGGCUUUUAGAAAGGAGAAUCUAAUGUAACCGUGGAUUACUAUAGAGCAUCUCUACGAUGUCUUUUUAAGGUCCAAAAUCACAUGUGGCCCAACUUUCUUUGUCUCUUCAACUCCUAACCAAUCCCAGCUCACCACAUAAUUACAUCUGAGACCACAAUAUCUCAAUUAUGUUAAUUCCUCCUCCACCUUAAACCUUUGAAAACUACUAAACUGCCCUUAAUUACCAUGAUAUAACACUUUCUGAUUUGCUUUGCCUACCAC
RNAcentral lists this long non-coding RNA (493 nucleotides) under Manihot esculenta (cassava). RNAcentral describes it as "long non-coding RNA (MESC_LNC008350)". Lineage: Eukaryota; Viridiplantae; Streptophyta; Magnoliopsida; Malpighiales; Euphorbiaceae. The record is from RNAcentral.